CGUCCAGGUCGGACUUGUUAAAGCUCGCCAAACCCUUCCUCCUACUUGAACUCCACCAAAAGAUGAGAGAGAAAGAGAGAGAGAGAGGCAGGCAGAUGAAAGUUGGUGUUUCAGCAUUUGGCGGUCUUGCUCCAAAAGUGACUUUUCGCCAGUUUUUUUCCACCGGCGACACGACGUCAAGGGACAAAAGGUUGGAAAGCCUCGCGUUC
RNAcentral lists this long non-coding RNA (209 nucleotides) under Elaeis guineensis (African oil palm). Its description in RNAcentral is "long non-coding RNA (EGUI_LNC017525)". The record is from RNAcentral. Lineage: Eukaryota; Viridiplantae; Streptophyta; Magnoliopsida; Arecales; Arecaceae.